AUGUUGGGGAGGAAAUAAAUACCAAUAAUUGGUUGCACCAAGAAAAUUUUUCGAGGGUAUCCGAAAGACAGCAGUAGAUUUAAAGGGGGAUAACUAGGUUAUGACAAUCAAGUGUUCAUAGCGACGUCGCUUCUUGAUCCUUCGGUGCUGACUCUAUUGAUCAUGCCGAAGCAGAAUUCUGUAAGCUUUGGAUUGUUUAUUCACCCAUAGGGAGCGUGAGCUGGGUUUAGACCGUCGUGAAAGAUUGGUUUUACCCUGCAGAUAAAAUCUUGUUGCAGUAAUAUUUGAACUUUGUACGAGAACAACCGCUCAUUCGGAGAAGUGGUAUCUGGGCCUGCCUGAGCAGGCAAUGGCCCGAAGUUAUCAUCCGUUGGGUUAUGGCUGAACGCCUCUAAGUCAAAACCCGUUUUAGAGCGCGACGAUUACCGUCUUAUCCCAUUUUUAGUUGGAUAAGAAUAGACCCACGGUCCUUAAUCUUACUAACCUAGGAUUGUUGUGCAUUUCACACAAAAUAUUUUGUUUUGGCCGCUAAACUUCGAUUAGCCAGCUAUUCAUGACAACAUUUUGCUCCAGACCUAUGCAAACCCCGCUCACAACUGGAUGAGUGGUUAAUUGUUUUACUCAUUUUAGUUGAAAGGCCCAAUAUAUUGCAGAGCGGAAAGACUUUAUGAGGUAAUCACUAAUGUUAAUAUCAAAUAUCAGAAGAGAUAAAUCCAUUGCAGACGACAAUACUUGGUCGGAGUAAUGUAACCAGUGGGGCAGCCUGGUUUCUACGAUCUGCUGAGAUUAAUCCCAUUGUUCUAUGGCUUU
Molecule: non-coding RNA, 810 nt
Filed under: Linnemannia elongata AG-77
Lineage: Eukaryota; Fungi; Mortierellomycota; Mortierellomycetes; Mortierellales; Mortierellaceae
Description: Mortierella elongata AG-77 Eukaryotic large subunit ribosomal RNA
Rfam family: Eukaryotic large subunit ribosomal RNA
Source: Rfam by way of RNAcentral